GACGAACCGAGCGAACGUUGUUCGGAAUCACUGGGCUUAAAGGGCGCGUAGGCGGGUUUGCAAGUCCGGGGUGAAAUCCCACAGCUCAACUGUGGAACUGCCUCGGAUACUGUGAGUCUCGAGGGUGGCAGGGGUAUGCGGAACUAUCGGUGGAGCGGUGAAAUGCGUUGAUAUCGAUAGGAACUCCGGUGGCGAAGGCGGCAUACUGGUCCACUUCUGACGCUGAGGCGCGAAAGCCAGGGGAGCAAACGGG
This 253-nucleotide ribosomal RNA is filed under the name uncultured bacterium. RNAcentral describes it as "partial 16S ribosomal RNA". It matches the Rfam family "Bacterial small subunit ribosomal RNA", at positions 524 to 776 of the family's 1533-position model. The record is from RNAcentral.